This 870-nucleotide ribosomal RNA is filed under the name Triticum aestivum (bread wheat). RNAcentral's name for it is "partial small subunit ribosomal RNA". Lineage: Eukaryota; Viridiplantae; Streptophyta; Magnoliopsida; Poales; Poaceae. The record is from RNAcentral.
AUGGACACCCGUCAUUAUGUUCUUGGAUGGAGCUUUGGCAUGAAUGGGCAAGCAGCUCCGUCCAUUGACAUCUCCAAGCUUCCAAAGGUUCCUCGUCUACGACAAAAGGGCCAGUCCAUGCUCUUGGCGAUCAUCCUCCCAAUAGCCACCGCGGCACUGAUAAUCUCUAUCGGCACCAUUGUCACUCUGAUGGUGCGAAGAAAAAGGAGGUAUAGGGAGGUGCGCGAGGAUUGGGAGAGCGAGUUUGGUCCACACUGGUUCUCGUACAAGGAUUUGUUCAAGGCUACUCAGGGAUUUAAGAGCAAGAACCUAGUUGGAGCUGGAGGGUUUGGGGAGGUAUACAGAGGGGUGCUUAAACUGUCCAAGAAGGAGAUUGCCGUGAAGAGGAUGUCCCAUGAGUCAAGACAAGGGAUGAAGGAGUUCAUCACCGAGGUUGUUAGCAUUGGCCGGUUGCGGCAUCGCAACCUAGUCCAGCUACUUGGCUAUUCCAGGCGGAAAGGUGAGCUGAUGCUGGUGUACGAUUACAUGUCAAAUGGCAGCCUUGACAAAUAUAUACACUGUCAAGGGGAUGACAAGCCCACCUUAAAUUGGGCUCAGAGGUUUCAAGUCAUCAAGGGUAUCGCUACCGGCUUGCUCUACCUCCACGAAAAGUGGGAGAAAGUUGUGGUCCACCGAGACAUCAAGGCAAGCAAUGUCCUCCUCGACCAUGAAAUGAAUGGGCGACUCGGUGACUUUGGUCUUGCACGGCUAUAUGAUCAUGGCACCGAUCCACAAAGCACACACAUGGUCGGCACAAUGGGAUACCUUGCCCCCGAGCUAGUACGCACAGGCAAGGCAUCUCCUCUUACCGAUGUGUACGCCUUCGGGUGA